CAUGCUGCAUUGUUUGUUCCAGAGUCAGAGAGCCGUGUCGCUGUACAGUCAGAGGUUUUUGUACGGCGGUUCAAUGAGUUUGUAUCACUGUGGUACACGUUCGGUGGAGGAACCAGACUGGAUGUUGGAAGUGAUGCCCGUCCCACCCUGACGGUGCUGCCCCCCUCUAGUGAGGAGAUAAAGAAGGGCCAUGCCACACUUACAUGUCUGGCCAACAAGGGCUUCCCCUCAGACUGGAGUCUGUCCUGGAAGGUGGACGGCAGCAGCAGCAGCAGCUAUGAGGAGAGCAGGAGCCCCGGGGUGCUGCAGAAGGACGGCCACUACAGCUGGAGCAGCACCCUGAGGGUCCCUGCAGACCAGUGGAGGAAGGUGGGCUCUGUGACCUGUCAGGCCACCCAGGGCUCCCAGACUCCACUCUCAGAGACACUGAGGAGAGACCAGUGUUCCCAGUACUGACCUGAUUCACUGGGACUUCACUCUGGAGUCUUCAGCUUUCUCUGUCUUUCUCCUAAUUUUCAUAUUUUUCCUCCCAUAAUAAAGAAGUUCAUGUUUUCAGACAAUAAAGGUGUUUGUUUUCAAAUUUUGGUUGUUCACUUGUUCAUUUAGACAUUUUUGUUUUCUUAAAAUGUAAACAUAAAAAAUAUUUUCAGUGAAUGAAAUAAACAUAAUUUCUAUUCAUUACA
Molecule: non-coding RNA, 683 nt
Organism: Melanotaenia boesemani (Boeseman's rainbowfish)
Lineage: Eukaryota; Metazoa; Chordata; Actinopteri; Atheriniformes; Melanotaeniidae
Source: the annotation of a RefSeq genome assembly